CGGCGCACGGGUGAGUACGCGUAUGGAACUACCUGAAGCAGGUGGAUAGAUUCCGGAAACGGGGAUUAUACCCCAUACGAUUCAUUUGUGGCCUCACAAAUGGAUAAAAGCUACGGCGGUUUCAGAUGGUCAUGCGUGCCAUUAGUUAGUUGGUGAGGGUAAGGCUCACCAAGGCGAUGAUGGUUAGGGGUCCUGAGAGGGUAGUCCCCCACACUGGUACUGAGACACGGAGCAGAGCGGAGAGCNGGANGCAGCAGUGAGGAAUAUUGGUCAAGUGGGCGCUAGCCUGAACCAGCCAUGCCGCGUGCAGGAAGACGGCCCUACGGGUUGUAAACUGCUUUUCUGCAGGAAGAAUAUAUAGUCUUAGGGCUAUAUUGACGGUACUGCAGGAAUAAGCAUCGGCUAACUCCGUGCCAGCAGCCGCGGUAAUACGGAGGAUGCAAGCGUUAUCCGGAUUCAUUGGGUUUAAAGGGUGCGCAGGCUGUAAAGCAAGUCAGUGGUGAAAGCCCUGGGCUUAACUCAGGGAUUGCCAUUGAAACUGUUUUACUAGAGUGUAGUAGAGGACGGCGGAAUGAGUUGUGUAGCGG
Molecule: ribosomal RNA, 587 nt
Filed under: uncultured organism
Description: bacterial SSU rRNA
Rfam family: Bacterial small subunit ribosomal RNA
Source: RNAcentral